GACGAACGCUGGCGGCGUGCUUAACACAUGCAAGUCGAACGGAAAGGCCCUGCUUUUGUGGGGUGCUCGAGUGGCGAACGGGUGAGUAACACUUGAGUAACCUGCCCUUGACUUUGGGAUAACUUCAUGAAACUGGGGCUAAUACCGGAUAGGAGCUCCUGCUGCAUGGUGGGGGUGGGAAAGUUUCGGCGGUUGGGGAUGGACUCGCGGCUUAUCAGCUUGUUGGUGGGGUAGUGGCUUACCAAGGCUUUGACGGGUAGCCGGCCUGAGAGGGUGACCGGCCACAUUGGGACUGAGAUACGGCCCAGACUCCUACGGGAGGCAGCAGUGGGGAAUAUUGCACAAUGGGCGGAAGCCUGAUGCAGCAACGCCGCGUGCGGGAUGACGGCAUUCGGGUUGUAAACCGAUUUCGCCUGUGACGAAGCGUGAGUGACGGUAAUGGGUAAAGAAGCACCGGCUAACUACGUG
RNAcentral lists this ribosomal RNA (468 nucleotides) under uncultured bacterium. RNAcentral describes it as "partial 16S ribosomal RNA". It matches the Rfam family "Bacterial small subunit ribosomal RNA", at positions 28 to 507 of the family's 1533-position model. The record is from RNAcentral.